UAGCUCUGUGGGAUUUAUCAAGUUGUUGUCAUCAAGAUCAGAUCUAGUAUUAAACUUUGCUCAUAAAUCUCAAACAUUUAAGGAUUUGUCACUCUAAUGUACAAUAUUUAUCUGCCGAAUGUAUCGCUCAAUCAAUAAUUAAGCAUUUAACAUGUCUCCAUCAGCAAAAGCUCGAUAAGAUUACCUGUUACAUUUACUCAAAAGUUUUAAACGAAAACAAUCUAAUCUCAAAUUUUAAAUACAUAUGAACAUAUUAAGAUGUUGUUGAAUGAAACUUAAAAAACAACAACAUUUAACCGAUAAUAAUUGCGUUAAAACUUGACGUGUGGAACAAAGAAUCAUCACUUUAAUGUUAUUGCUUGCUAUGUUCUUUAUUAUGUGUAGCUUAACAUGUAGUUGAUAUAGCUAAGACAAAUCAGCUGAAUCGAAACACGUCGAAUACGGAUGUCAAACUGGCGGAUUGCUAGUGUAUACUUGCUAGCUUUGUUAUCGCCGAAAUUCACUUGAAGUAUUUUAAACUAGCAACAACUGAUAUGAUAUCUUAAACGCAUUGAAAGCCUCAGCCCAUGUGGAAUUUUACCUCAAGUAUUCUGACGGCAGCCUCGGCGAGUAUGCUUUUCGUACCGUGUAUUAUGGCUUACUGCAAUCAUCGUCCAUUUUCCAGGGAACUGCAGUAUCCAGUAUUUUACAAAUACACAUAAACAUGCCGGACAAACAGAUAUGACGGACGGAUGGUAGAAUAAUAGUCUCCUCUGGUGAACCGGAAGGAGGAUAAACAUAAAAUACGGCAACUUAACUUUGUGACACUAAAUUUAUUUCAAAUACCGUUGGUCCAGUUACCAGAAAUUAAGAUGUUUGUAUAAUCGCUUCACCAUUCUACCUCUAACACGUGUUCUAACAAUAUUAAUGGAUAUACAUUUUUCUGUAUUUCAAUAGCUUGCGAUAAAAAAUUUAUGAAAACACAAACAUUCACGUCAUGUUUGCAAUCAUGCUCAAUUAAAUUCGAAAAGUCCA
Long non-coding RNA from Dreissena polymorpha, 1014 nucleotides. RefSeq lists it as uncharacterized. The transcript has 2 exons. The record is from RefSeq and is a predicted model, not a curated record. NCBI's taxonomy places the organism in Eukaryota, Metazoa, Mollusca, Bivalvia, Myida, Dreissenidae.